Protopterus annectens (West African lungfish) is the source of this 162-nucleotide small nuclear RNA. RefSeq annotates it as U1 spliceosomal RNA. The record is from RefSeq and is a predicted model, not a curated record. Lineage: Eukaryota; Metazoa; Chordata; Ceratodontiformes; Protopteridae. The transcript has a single exon.
AUGUUCCCUUAACAUGGGGAAUACCACUAUUAAGAAGGUGGUUUCCCCAGAGAGAGGCUUUUUCAUUGCACUUCACUUGGGUUGAUCCCUGUGAUUUCCCCAAAUGUAGGAAACUCAACUGCAUACUUUAUGGUAGUUUGGGACUGCAUUUGUUCUCUUUAU